Molecule: unclassified non-coding RNA, 307 nt
Filed under: plant metagenome
Description: partial contains 5.8S ribosomal RNA, internal transcribed spacer 2, and large subunit ribosomal RNA
Rfam family: 5.8S ribosomal RNA (bases 1-105)
Source: RNAcentral
GAAAUGCGAUAAGUAGUGUGAAUUGCAGAAUUCAGUGAAUCAUCGAAUCUUUGAACGCACAUUGCGCCCCUCGGUAUUCCGUGGGGCAUGCCUGUUCGAGCGUCAUUUCAACCCUCAGAACCCCUUGCGGGAUCUGGCGUUGGGGAUUGGCAUCCAGCCAGCCCCGAAAUCUAGUGGCGGUCCCUCCGCGACCUCCCCUGUGCAGUAGCGAUACCUCGCAGCGGGACAGCGGUCUGACCACGCCGUAAAACCCCCAACUUCUCAAGGUUGACCUCGAAUCAGGUAGGAAUACCCGCUGAACUUAAGC